Molecule: ribosomal RNA, 253 nt
Filed under: uncultured bacterium
Lineage: Bacteria
Description: partial 16S ribosomal RNA
Rfam family: Bacterial small subunit ribosomal RNA
Source: RNAcentral
GACAGAGGGUGCAAGCGUUGUUCGGAAUCAUUGGGCGUAAAGCGCACGUAGGUGGCCUUGCAAGUCGGAUGUGAAAGCCCAGGGCUCAACCCUGGAAGUGCAUCCGAAACUGCUCGGCUCGAGUCCCGGAGAGGAUGGCGGAAUUCCGAGUGUAGAGGUGAAAUUCGUAGAUAUUCGGAGGAACACCAGUGGCGAAGGCGGCCAUCUGGACGGAGACUGACACUGAGGUGCGAAAGCGUGGGGAGCAAACAGG